GAUGAACGCUGGCGGCGUGCCUAAUACAUGCAAGUCGAGCGAACGGACGAGAAGCUUGCUUUUCUGAUGUUAGCGGCGGACGGGUGAGUAACACGUGGAUAACCUACCUAUAAUACUGGGAUAACUUCGGGAAACCGGAGCUAAUACCGGAUAAUAUUUUGAACCGCAUGGUUCAAAAGUGAAAGACGGUCUUGCUGGCACUUAUAGAUGGAUCCGCGCUGCAUUAGCUAGUUGGUAAGGUAACAGCUUACCAAGGCAACGAUGCAUAGCCGACCUGAGAGGGUGAUCGGCCGCACUGGAACUGAGACACGGUCCAGACUCCUAAGGGAGGCAGCAGUAGGGAAUCUGCCGCAAUGGGCGAAAGCCUGACGGAGCAACGGCGAGUGAGUGAUGAAGGUCUUCGGAUCGUAAAACUCUGUUAUUAGGGAAGAACAUAUGUGUAAGUAACUGUGCACAUCUUGACGGUACCUAAUAAGAAAGCCACGGCUAACUACGUG
Molecule: ribosomal RNA, 497 nt
Filed under: uncultured bacterium
Lineage: Bacteria
Description: partial 16S ribosomal RNA
Rfam family: Bacterial small subunit ribosomal RNA
Source: RNAcentral